RNAcentral lists this ribosomal RNA (301 nucleotides) under uncultured bacterium. RNAcentral describes it as "partial 16S ribosomal RNA". It matches the Rfam family "Bacterial small subunit ribosomal RNA", at positions 509 to 807 of the family's 1533-position model. The record is from RNAcentral.
CAGUCGCCGCGGGAAUACGAAGGGUGCAAGCGUUAAUCGGAAUUACUGGGCGUAAAGCGCGCGUAGGUGGUUCGCCAAGUUGGAUGUGAAAUCCCCGGGCUCAACCUGGGAACUGCAUCCAAAACUGGCGAGCUAGAGUAUGGUAGAGGGUGGUGGAAUUUCCUGUGUAGCGGUGAAAUGCGUAGAUAUAGAAAGGAACAUCAGUGGCGAAGGCGACCACCUGGACUGAUACUGACACUGAGGUGCGAAAGCGUGGGGAGCAAACAGGAUUAGAUACCCGAGUAGUCCCUGUCUCUUAUAC